UGGAAUCAAAAUGGGGGCAGUGAUGCGGUGCACAUGCCUCCAUUGCAGCAAGGUAUGUAAUUUUCUCCCGCACAACUACAAACUAUGGAGAACAAAAUCGGGUUAAAACCAAAGUGGGAAAUAGGAAACUUAUCAAUAUCAAUCUCAUUCCCAUAUAAUAUGGGAUUUUUUUAUGUGGGUGAUUUUGGAUAUCAUCAUAUCCAACAAUCUUCAUCUUGAUAUUAAAAUCACCUGAUCACCAUGCCAACUUCCAAUGGAUAGCUUUAUGAAUUCAUCUUUUUUUGCCAAAUAAAUUCUUUCACCAUUUUUGCUGGAAAGAUUGUGCUUGCUAUCAUAUUUCUCCACCUCAAUUAAAACACUCGCAUACUUUGCAAUGUGUUUUUCUACAAUCGAAUGCACAAACACUAGCCUUGUACUAAGCAAUGCGCUCUAAUAGCAUUCGUUGAAAAUAAAAACCAAGGUUUAACAAAAAUAAAAGAAAAAAAAAUAGUGCAGAAAAAUAAAAGAACAGACACACAAAGAUUUACGUGGUUCAGUAAGUUGCUUACGUCCAUGGGGCAGCAAAGUUCUCUUCCACUAAUCAGAAAAAUAUCAUAUACACAUGGAGAAUACAAGGGAUUACAAGUUCUCUCUCA
This 635-nucleotide long non-coding RNA is filed under the name Amborella trichopoda. Its description in RNAcentral is "long non-coding RNA (ATRI_LNC003777)". Lineage: Eukaryota; Viridiplantae; Streptophyta; Magnoliopsida; Amborellales; Amborellaceae. The record is from RNAcentral.